ACGUACACUCCUGCGGGAGGCAGCAGUGGGGAAUAUUGGACAAUGGGCGCAAGCCUGAUCCAGCCAUGCCGCGUGAGUGAUGAAGGCCCUAGGGUUGUAAAGCUCUUUCACCGGUGAAGAUAAUGACGGUAACCGGAGAAGAAGCCCCGGCUAACUUCGUGCCAGCAGCCGCGGUAAUACGAAGGGGGCUAGCGUUGUUCGGAUUUACUGGGCGUAAAGCGAACGUAGGCGGACUAUUAAGUCAGGGGUGAAAUCCCGGGGCUCAACCCCGGAACUGCCUUUGAUACUGGUAGUCUUGAGUUCGAGAGAGGUGAGUGGAAUUCCGAGUGUAGAGGUGAAAUUCGUAGAUAUUCGGAGGAACACCAGUGGCGAAGGCGGCUCACUGGCUCGAUACUGACGCUGAGGUGCGAAAGCGUGGGGAGCAAACAGGAUUAGAUACCCUAGUAGUCC
Molecule: ribosomal RNA, 450 nt
Filed under: uncultured organism
Description: partial 16S ribosomal RNA
Rfam family: Bacterial small subunit ribosomal RNA
Source: RNAcentral